Molecule: non-coding RNA, 195 nt
Organism: Oryza nivara
Lineage: Eukaryota; Viridiplantae; Streptophyta; Magnoliopsida; Poales; Poaceae
Source: Rfam
UAUAAAUACAGUUUUACACUAUUUAUUUUCAACAUUUGACCAUUCGUUUUAUUUAAAUUUUUUUUAUGAUUACUAUUUUUAUUGUUAUUAGAUGAUAAAACAUGAAUAAUACUUUAUGUGUGACUAACUUUUUUAAAAUUUUUUAUAAGACGGAUGGUCAAAUGUUGGACACGGAUUUUCAUUGCUGCACUUAUU